AUUGAACGCUGGCGGCAUGGUUAAAGCAUGCAAGUCGAACGCGAACCACCUUCGGGUGGGGAAAGUGGCGAAAGGGCGAGGAAUACGAUCGAAUGUGCCCCGAGGUGGGGGAGUAGCGUCGAGAAAUCGGCGGUAAUACCCCAUGUGCUCUACGGAGGAAAGGUUUACCGCCUUGGGAGCAGCGAUCGUCCUAUCAGGUAGUUGGUGGGGUAAUGGCCUACCAAGCCGAAGACGGGUAGCGGGUGUGAGAGCAUGACCCGCCGCAUCGGAACUGAGACACUGUCCGGACUCCUACGGGAGGCUGCAGCGACGAAUAUUCCGCAAUGGGCGAAAGCCUGACGGAGCAAUGCCGCGUGUGGGAUGAAGCGCC
This 370-nucleotide ribosomal RNA is filed under the name uncultured bacterium. RNAcentral describes it as "bacterial SSU rRNA". It matches the Rfam family "Bacterial small subunit ribosomal RNA", at positions 29 to 417 of the family's 1533-position model. The record is from RNAcentral.